GAGGGAAAAGGAGCAAUCCGCUUUGAGAUGGCCUCGCGUCCGAUUAGCUAGUUGGUGAGGUAAUGGCCCACCAAGGCGACGAUCGGUAGCCGGACUGAGAGGUUGAACGGCCACAUUGGGACUGAGACACGGCCCAGACUCCUACGGGAGGCAGCAGUGGGGAAUAUUGCACAAUGGGGGAAACCCUGAUGCAGCGACGCCGCGUGGAGGAAGAAGGUCUUCGGAUUGUAAACUCCUGUUGUUGGGGAAGAUAAUGACGGUACCCAACAAGGAAGUGACGGCUAACUACGUGCCAGCAGCCGCGGUAAAACGUAGGUCACAAGCGUUGUCCGGAAUUACUGGGUGUAAAGGGAGCGCAGGCGGGAAGACAAGUUGGAAGUGAAAUCUAUGGGCUCAACCCAUAAACUGCUUUCAAAACUGUUUUUCUUGAGUAGUGCAGAGGUAGGCGGAAUUCCCGGUGUAGCGGUGGAAUGCGUAGAUAUCGGGAGGAACACCAGUGGCGAAGGCGGCCUACUGGGCACCAACUGACGCUGAGGCUCGAAAGUGUGGGUAGCAAACAGGAUUAGAUACCCUGGUAGUCCACACCGUAAACGAUGAUUACUAGGUGUUGGAGGAUUGACCCCUUCAGUGCCGCAGUUAACACAAUAAGUAAUCCACCUGGGGAGUACGACCGCAAGGUUGAAACUCAAAGGAAUUGACGGGGGCCCGCACAAGCAGUGGAGUAUGUGGUUUAAUUCGACGCAACGCGAAGAACCUUACCAAGUCUUGACAUCCCUUGACAGGCAUAGAAAUAUGUUUUCUCUUCGGAGCAAGGAGACAGGUGGUGCAUGGUUGUCGUCAGCUCGUGUCGUGAGAUGUUGGGUUAAGUCCCGCAACGAGCGCAACCCUUAUGGUCAGUUACUACGCAAGAGGACUCUGGCCAGACUGCCGUUGACAAAACGGAGGAAGGUGGGGAUGACGUCAAAUCAUCAUGCCCUUUAUGACUUGGGCUACACACGUACUACAAUGGCGUUAAACAAAGAGAAGCAAGACCGCGAGGUGGAGCAAAACUCAGAAACAACGUCCCAGUUCGGACUGCAGGCUGCAACUCGCCUGCACGAAGUCGGAAUUGCUAGUAAUCGUGGAUCAGCAUGCCACGGUGAAUACGUUCCCGGGCCUUGUACACACCGCCCGUCACACCAUGAGAGCCGGGGGGACCCGAAGUCGGUAGUCUAACCGCAAGGAGGACGCCGCCGAAGGUAAAACUGGUGAUUGGGGUGAAGUCGUAACAAGGUAGCCGUAGGAGAACCUGCGGCUGGAUCACCUCCUUUCU
RNAcentral lists this ribosomal RNA (1312 nucleotides) under uncultured Faecalibacterium sp. RNAcentral's name for it is "bacterial SSU rRNA". It matches the Rfam family "Bacterial small subunit ribosomal RNA", at positions 197 to 1533 of the family's 1533-position model. The record is from RNAcentral. Lineage: Bacteria; Bacillati; Bacillota; Clostridia; Eubacteriales; Oscillospiraceae.